This 641-nucleotide long non-coding RNA is filed under the name Gallus gallus (chicken). Its description in RNAcentral is "long non-coding RNA NONGGAT008297". The record is from RNAcentral. Lineage: Eukaryota; Metazoa; Chordata; Aves; Galliformes; Phasianidae.
GAAAAUUAAAGGAGGGAAAUGCUGAUGACCUCUCCCUCUUGUGACAGGUCUCUAACAAGGCCAACUUGGUGUUGUGUUUAUAAAAAUGAAGAUGUCUCCUUGUGGGGAUAGGGCAUAAUACUAAAGAGCAUGCCUCUCAAAGUGCACUGGGUUGAAUUAGUGGAUGGGAGACUUGAAACUUAAAAAUGGGUAACUUUGUAAUAGUGGGAAAACCAGGUCCCCUGUUUGAGAGAGGUCUUCCUCUUGCUUUGCAGUUUCCCUUCAGCAAGAAGCUAUGGGGAGCUUCUAGGUCUAAUGCUGUUCCUCUGCUUUUGAGCUGAAUUUCUGCAUGGCAGCCUUUCUCGAAUGCAGUAGGGCUUCCCUGGCUUGAAGAUGGGUGUGCUGUCCUGAGGGAGGAGCAGUGUUGACUGUCUUACAGUGACCUUCUGCUUUCCUUUAAGAAGAGUCCACUAAGAACUGUAUUGGGUUUUUCAGUAGGUAACUCAGGAGAGGGCUUCUCGGUGAAAUCCUUUGUGUUGAAUUGCAGUAAGUUGAGUAUGUGAACCUUCCUCCCAAACUGAGACCGAACGCCAGCAAAAUGCCAAAUAUGUUGUCCUGUUUCCCUUUAUAACAAAAGAUGUGGUACUUUGCUGGGGUUGCGC